Molecule: long non-coding RNA, 1126 nt
Filed under: Cyanistes caeruleus (blue tit)
Lineage: Eukaryota; Metazoa; Chordata; Aves; Passeriformes; Paridae
Description: lncRNA (ENSCCEG00000004247.1)
Source: RNAcentral
CCCUCUCCUCCCGCAUCCUCCCGCUCCUCCCGCAUCCUCCCGCUCCUCCCGCAUCCUCCCGCGGCUCCGCGGCUCCCCGCGGUGCCAUCCCUCGCUGUCUCCCCGGCAGGACGAGAAGCAGCGGCUACCGAGGAUGCCGCACAGCCCCCGAGAGACUCCGGGUUCUGGCCGGCCGUGGUGGGCUGUGGCUGCGUGGCCGUGGUUGUGGCGUUCCUGGCCGGGCUCUGCGUGAGGAAGAGGUACCAGCGCUGCCUCUGGGUUUGCGGGGGUGAGGAAGCACCUCCCUGCAGCCCUCCUGCGCUGCUCUCCCUGGCCAGGCUUUGCCCAGGUGCUCUCAGGUGUGAGGGUUCAGCUCCCCAGCUGUGGGGUGCAGCCUCCUGCCGCCAUCUAGUGUCACCCUGGCCCGGCCGGCGUCCCCUGGGCUCCCAAACCCCCCGGGAUGUGCCAGCAGCAGGGGCAGCCUGGCCCAGGCAUGUGCAAAGGGAUGUCAGUGUCCCGGGAGAGGGAGGGUGGGACAGGAGGAGCAGGUGAAGCUCCUAUGGAGGUGACACUGCUGCUGCCUUCCCUCAAGGUUUGCAACCAUCACAGCCCUGGAGAGGAUGGGGAACAGCAGCAGCAAGAACAAAGCAGAGGAAGCGAUUUACUCCUCAAUCCCCGGAGCUGAGCUGCCCAAGGCUGAGCAGGAAGCAAAGAAGAAGAGGAGAGCUGAGGACACCUACAUAACCAUGCACCCUUCUCACGGCCGCGACAACGGAGUCUACGUGGAGCUGGCCAAGAGGGCGAUCCCGACGGAAUGGAUGGCAGAGGGGACACAGGGAGAAGGGCAGAGCCAGGAGCCCCCCAGCAGGUCAGGGGAGGCACUCCCCCGGCCUCCAGAGCAGCAGAAAUAGCUGUGCUGAGGGAUGGCAGCCCCUUGUCCAGGUGUGUCCGAAACACCUUUGUCCCUCCGAGGACUGAGAACCGGUGACAUGUCACUGUGUGCCCUGUGCCAGGGCACUGCUGGGGCACAGCCCACCCCAGCUGUCUGCAGGGGACCAGGGGACACCUGUCCCUCCGGCUCUUGCCCCCUGGACUCUGGAGAGAGUGGGCACAGCCUCAGGCUCCAGCUUUGGUCCUGGCCCAGGAU